Molecule: ribosomal RNA, 500 nt
Filed under: uncultured bacterium
Lineage: Bacteria
Description: partial 16S ribosomal RNA
Rfam family: Bacterial small subunit ribosomal RNA
Source: RNAcentral
AUUGAACGCUGGCGGAAUGCUUUACACAUGCAAGUCGAACGGCAGCACGGACUUCGGUCUGGUGGCGAGUGGCGAACGGGUGAGUAAUGUAUCGGAACGUGCCCAGUCGUGGGGGAUAACGUAGUGAAAAUUACGCUAAUACCGCAUACGAUCUAUGGAUGAAAGCGGGGGAUCGCAAGACCUCGCGCGAUUGGAGCGGCCGAUAUCAGAUUAGGUAGUUGGUGGGGUAAAGGCCCACCAAGCCAACGAUCUGUAGCUGGUCUGAGAGGACGACCAGCCACACUGGAACUGAGACACGGUCCAGCCUCCGACGGGAGGCAGCAGUGGGGAAUUUUGGACAAUGGGCGAAAGCAUGAUCCAGCCAUUCCGCGUGCAGGAUGAAGGCCCUCGGGUUGUAAACUGCUUUUGUACAGAACGAAAAGGUUUCUACUAAUACUAGGAGCUCAUGACGGUACUGUAAGAAUAAGCACCGGCUAACUACGUGCCAGCCGCCGCCGUAA